Long non-coding RNA from Cyprinus carpio (common carp), 1270 nucleotides. RefSeq lists it as uncharacterized. The record is from RefSeq and is a predicted model, not a curated record. Lineage: Eukaryota; Metazoa; Chordata; Actinopteri; Cypriniformes; Cyprinidae. The transcript has 11 exons.
UACUUCAUUAUUCCAAACAUCUGUAUUUUGUAGUUUCAACAAGUUUACGAGAGCCUGACACUGACUGCUGGGGACGGACAGAUAUACGUGCCAGGAAGGAGAUCCCAGAUUUCCAGUUGCAAAACCAGCCAAACCCACUGUUGGAUCAUGUUUUGGAUGAGACUCAAUCACCGGAAGAGAUCAUAGGUGCAGUGGGUACCACAGUGUUGAAAAGAUUGGAUUUGAUUUCUUUAGGAUUGAACCAGGAAGUGGAGGCAACAGCGGUGAAUUGUUGCCUUUUUCAGUUAUCCAUAAUUUCUGAACAAAAGGGCAAGGAUGUUCAUGCUGUCAAUUCAUAUGUAGUGGUCACUUGGCAACCACCUUUAAAUUGUGAUCCGUUUCUGUCCCUGCCUCUCAAUCGCAAUAAAGAUGAUUCCAGGACCUUGGAAGCUUGUUAAAAAUAAGGAUGUACCAACACAGUCAGCAUCUGUGGAUUGUGGUGUAUUCAUGCUAAUGUAUGCAUUGUGUAUGGCACUUAACUGGGAGCUUGACUUCACUCAGAAAGAAGCGAUGCACAUCAGCCAUGUUGGAAGCAUUUAAGGAGGAGAUAAAACGGCAGGAGAAAGUGGAGAACAUCGGAAUCUUGAUGUUGCCAGAUGCUGUCCUGGUGGAAAUUUUUCUUCACGUGGUCCUGGAGGAGGGUGAUGUUGCGUUAUUAAAUCUGUCUUUGGUUUGUUCCAAAUUCAAAAGCCUGGUGGAUACAGACUCCUUUCGAAAGAGGGCACACUUCUGCUGGCUUAACAGUGUAACUAAAUGGAGAACAAAGUCUGAGCCAUUCCAGGAAUUUUACAAAAUGUACACACUGCAGCCCUGUAGACACUGCAAUGAGGUUUACAAGAACUGCUUACCAGGAUAUGUUGGAAGAGGAAAACGAGGAGAGAUGCAAGGCUUUUACUCAGAAAACACCCAUCCAGGGUUUUGCAGUGAUUGGUGCAUGAUGCUGGAGGAGGAAUAACUCUGUAUAACUCAUCAGUUCUGUUCUGAAAUUCUUGUAAAUACCUCAGGAUUGUUGUUUGUGAUUCUGAUUAACAAUUUUUUUUUCUACUUGCUUACUAGAGAUAUUUUAUACUGUUUACAAGGUAUGUUGUCAUAGUUAGUGCUAUACAAAGUCUGUUACAAAUGUAAUGGAUACUUUAUUUUUAUGUGUGUGUGUGUUUCUUGAAUUACUACAAAUGUUAAAAAAAAUAACAGCAAAAAAAAAAAAAAGCUUUUAAAUAAAGGUCGUUGCUGA